GGGCCCGCACAAGCGGUGGAGUAUGUGGUUUAAUUCGAUGCAACGCGAAGAACCUUACCAGGGUUUGACAUCCUGCGAAUCUCUUGGAAACGAGAGAGUGCCUUCGGGAACGCAGUGACAGGUGGUGCAUGGCUGUCGUCAGCUCGUGUCGUGAGAUGUUGGGUUAAGUCCCGCAACGAGCGCAACCCACGUCUUUAGUUGCCAGCAUUUAGUUGGGCACUCUAUGGAAACUGCCCGUGAUAAGCGGGAGGAAGGUGUGGAUGACGUCAAGUCCUCAUGGCCCUUACGGGUUGGGCUACACACGUGCUACAAUGGUAGUGACAAUGGGUUAAUCCCAAAAAGCUAUCUCAGU
RNAcentral lists this ribosomal RNA (352 nucleotides) under uncultured bacterium. RNAcentral's name for it is "bacterial SSU rRNA". It matches the Rfam family "Bacterial small subunit ribosomal RNA", at positions 917 to 1292 of the family's 1533-position model. The record is from RNAcentral.